Buceros rhinoceros silvestris is the source of this 45-nucleotide non-coding RNA. NCBI's taxonomy places the organism in Eukaryota, Metazoa, Chordata, Aves, Bucerotiformes, Bucerotidae. The record is from Rfam.
UCAAAGGCCUUACUAAAGGCCAUACAUGAAAAUUCUUAAAUUAGG